Molecule: unclassified non-coding RNA, 334 nt
Filed under: soil metagenome
Description: partial contains 5.8S ribosomal RNA, internal transcribed spacer 2, and large subunit ribosomal RNA
Rfam family: 5.8S ribosomal RNA (bases 1-120)
Source: RNAcentral
GAUGAAGAACGUAGCGAAAUGCGAUAAGAAAUGUGAAUUGCAGAAUUCAGUGAAUCAUCGAAUCUUUGAACGCACAUUGCGCCCGCCAGUAUUCUGGCGGGCAUGCCUGUUCGAGCGUCAUUUCAACCAUCAAGCCCCCGGCUUGUGUUGGGGACCUGCGGCUGCCGCAGGCCCUGAAAUGCAGUGGCGGGCUCGCUGUCACUCCGAGCGUAGUAGUUACAUCUCGCUCUGGGCGUGCUGCGGGUUCCGGCCGUUAAAAGCCUUAUUUACCCAAGGUUGACCUCGGAUCAGGUAGGAAGACCCGCUGAACUUAAGCAUAUCAAUAAGCGGAGGA